UGAGGAAUAUUGGUCAAUGGGCGAAAGCCUGAACCAGCCAAGUCGCGUGAGGGAAGACGGUCCUAUGGAUUGUAAACCUCUUUUGCAGGGGAGCAAUGCCCGGUACGUGUACCGGGAGGGAGAGUACCCUGAGAAAAAGCAUCGGCUAACUCCGUGCCAGCAGCCGCGGUAAUACGGAGGAUGCGAGCGUUAUCCGGAUUUAUUGGGUUUAAAGGGUGCGUAGGCGGACCUGUAAGUCAGCGGUAAAAAUGCGGUGCUCAACGCCGUAGUGCCGUUGAAACUGCAAGUCUUGAGUGAGCGAGAAGUAUGCGGAAUGCGUGGUGUAGCGGUGAAAUGCAUAGAUAUCACGCAGAACUCCGAUUGCGAAGGCAGCAUACCGGCGCUCAACUGACGCUGAGGCACGAAAGCGUGGGGAUCGAACAGGAUUAGAUACC
RNAcentral lists this ribosomal RNA (434 nucleotides) under uncultured bacterium. RNAcentral's name for it is "bacterial SSU rRNA". It matches the Rfam family "Bacterial small subunit ribosomal RNA", at positions 355 to 786 of the family's 1533-position model. The record is from RNAcentral.